AUUGAACGCUGGCGGCAGGCCUAACACAUGCAAGUCGAGCGGAUGAAGGGAGCUUGCUCCUGGAUUCAGCGGCGGACGGGUGAGUAAUGCCUAGGAAUCUGCCUGGUAGUGGGGGAUAACGUCCGGAAACGGGCGCUAAUACCGCAUACGUCCUGAGGGAGAAAGUGGGGGAUCUUCGGACCUCACGCUAUCAGAUGAGCCUAGGUCGGAUUAGCUAGUUGGUGGGGUAAAGGCCUACCAAGGCGACGAUCCGUAACUGGUCUGAGAGGAUGAUCAGUCACACUGGAACUGAGACACGGUCCAGACUACUACGGGAGGCAGCGGUGGGGAAUAUUGGACAAUGGGCGAAAGCCUGAUCCAGCCAUGCCGCGUGUGUGAAGAAGGUCUUCGGAUUGGAAAGCACUUUAAGUUGGGAGGAAGGGCAGUAAGUUAAUACCGUGCUGUUUUGACGUUACCAACAGAAUAAGCACCGGCUAACUUCGUG
This 484-nucleotide ribosomal RNA is filed under the name uncultured bacterium. RNAcentral's name for it is "partial 16S ribosomal RNA". It matches the Rfam family "Bacterial small subunit ribosomal RNA", at positions 30 to 507 of the family's 1533-position model. The record is from RNAcentral.